GUCCCUUGGGACAGAACACGCGGAGGGCUCACCUGGCAAACACUGCCUUGGCCAGCGUGCUGCAGGCUCAGACACCCGUCUUCCCCUCGACUGGGAAAUGUGAGGAUGGCAAGUAAGCUAAGUUUAUAUAAAUAUGGUUGCAGCGUGAGGUUCAGGUUGUCUGAUUUUUAUUUUUUUAUUAUUAUUUCUUUAUUUUUUUUACCAGCUCGACGUGGGGUUUAAGUCUAAGUGACUUGUAACCUCUAAGAUCUGAGUGGGAUUUUAACACCGCGUGCGUUUGGUGACAUGCUUAAGCGAAAUGAACCCGAGAACAACCAUUGACAACAGCCGCCUCCGUCAGGUUUCAAGCCUCUGCAAGAUCCUGACUGCUAGGGAACAAAGGCUGGUAUGUGGUUCCCUCAAAGGUCAGUCAUUAACCUGCCCCGACAACAGUUUUAGGAAGAUCAAGGCAAUGAAGAAAAACUAAGAAAAAGCACUUUCACUUUGGAAUGAAUUGUUCAAAAUGCCCUUAUACAUUGAGUUUUAUUCCCUUUCAGCUCCGCACUUUUUAGUUCCUGCACGUAUUUAUUUCACAUCAGGAAUAAUGGCAAGAUUUGCUCUCCCAGAGAUUUGACCUUAAGUUUAUUCUAGCCACAACACUAUAGACCAUUUCAUCAAUUAUAGAUGUACUCAUGUGUAUAGAGGAACUGGUAAGCCAGCUCGGUAAUACUACCUUGUCCUGGAGGCUUACCCUUAUAAAUAAAUUAAGGGCAUAUCUUUAUGAAAUACCAGUAGAGAGAGAGAAAGAAAAGAAAGUAAGAGAGAAAGAAAGAAAGGAUGGAA
Long non-coding RNA from Oxyura jamaicensis (ruddy duck), 822 nucleotides. RefSeq lists it as uncharacterized. The record is from RefSeq and is a predicted model, not a curated record. The transcript has 2 exons. Lineage: Eukaryota; Metazoa; Chordata; Aves; Anseriformes; Anatidae.